Molecule: unclassified non-coding RNA, 343 nt
Filed under: soil metagenome
Description: partial contains 5.8S ribosomal RNA, internal transcribed spacer 2, and large subunit ribosomal RNA
Rfam family: 5.8S ribosomal RNA (bases 1-120)
Source: RNAcentral
GAUGAAGAACGUAGUGAAAUGCGAUAAGUAAUGUGAAUUGCAGAGUUCAGUGAAUCAUCGAAUCUUUGAACGCACAUUGCGCCCGCCAGCAUUCUGGCGGGCAUGCCUGUUCGAGCGUCAUUUCAACCCUCGACCUCCCCUUGGGGAGGUCGGCGUUGGGGACCGGCAGCACACCGCCGGCCCUGAAAUGGAGUGGCGGCCCGUCCGCGGCGACCUCUGCGCAGUAAUACAGCUCGCACCGGGACCCCGACGCGGCCACGCCGUAAAACACCCAACUUCUGAACGUUGACCUCGAAUCAGGUAGGACUACCCGCUGAACUUAAGCAUAUCAAUAAGCGGAGGA